GAUGAACGCUGGCGGCGUGCCUAAUACAUGCAAGUCGAGCGAACGGGCGAGAAGCUUGCUUCUCUGAUGUUAGCGGCGGACGGGUGAGUAACACGUGGAUAACCUACCUAUAAGACUGGGAUAACUUCGGGAAACCGGAGCUAAUACCGGAUGAUAUUUUGAACCGCAUGGUUCAAAAGUGAAAGACGGUCUUGCUGUCACUUAUAGAUGGAUCCGCGCUGCAUUAGCUAGUUGGUAAGGUAACGGCUUACCAAGGCAACGAUGCAUAGCCGACCUGAGAGGGUGAUCGGCCACACUGGAACUGAGACACGGUCCAGACUCCUACGGGAGGCAGCAGUAGGGAAUCCUCCGCAAUGGGCGAAAGCCUGACGGAGCAACGCCGCGUGAGUGAUGAAGGUCUUCGGAUCGUAAAACUCUGUUAUUAGGGAAGAACAUAUGUGUAAGUAACUGUGCACAUCUUGACGGUACCUAAUCAGAAAGCCACGGCUAACUACGUG
RNAcentral lists this ribosomal RNA (497 nucleotides) under uncultured bacterium. RNAcentral's name for it is "partial 16S ribosomal RNA". It matches the Rfam family "Bacterial small subunit ribosomal RNA", at positions 28 to 507 of the family's 1533-position model. The record is from RNAcentral.